This 299-nucleotide ribosomal RNA is filed under the name Klebsiella quasipneumoniae subsp. similipneumoniae. RNAcentral's name for it is "partial 23S ribosomal RNA". It matches the Rfam family "Bacterial large subunit ribosomal RNA", at positions 1 to 289 of the family's 2925-position model. The record is from RNAcentral. Lineage: Bacteria; Pseudomonadati; Pseudomonadota; Gammaproteobacteria; Enterobacterales; Enterobacteriaceae.
GGGUUGUGAGGUUAAGCGACUAAGCGUACACGGUGGAUGCCCUGGCAGUCAGAGGCGAUGAAGGACGUGCUAAUCUGCGAAAAGCGUCGGUAAGGUGAUAUGAACCGUUAUAACCGGCGAUGUCCGAAUGGGGAAACCCAGUGCAAUUCGUUGCACUAUCGUUAACUGAAUACAUAGGUUAACGAGGCGAACCGGGGGAACUGAAACAUCUAAGUACCCCGAGGAAAAGAAAUCAACCGAGAUUCCCCCAGUAGCGGCGAGCGAACGGGGAGCAGCCCAGAGUCUGAAUCAGCUUGUGU